This is a non-coding RNA of Sinocyclocheilus grahami, 1662 nucleotides long. The record is from the annotation of a RefSeq genome assembly. Lineage: Eukaryota; Metazoa; Chordata; Actinopteri; Cypriniformes; Cyprinidae.
AUGCCGGUAUUGGCCCUUUGUGCCAAAAGACACCAGCCCGAGUCUGUUGCGCGGAUCUGGACCAGAACUUCCGAUGGGUCUGGGCCAGAUCUGGCCCAGAUUAUUUUUGCUAUCUUUCGAUUCAUCAUUGUAAAGCGCUCCUGCUCCCUCAAGACCAUGCAAGACGACAGAAAGCGCAUCCUAACGUCAAGGUUUUCGCACAUCAGAGAAUGUAUAAGGUCGCACUGUGAUGCUUUUGACUACUGGGGUAAAGGCACACAAGUGAUCGUCACAAAUGAAGUUCCCAAAGCACCAAAUGUGUUUAUGAUGUCUCCGUGUGAAUCCUCACCUGGUUCCCUACUUGUUGGCUGUUUGGCCACUGGGUUCUCACCUGCUGAAUCUGUCAAUUUCAAAUGGAUGGAUCAGCGCGGAAAUUCUUUGACUAAUUUCAUCCAGUACCCCACAGUAGGAACUGGAAACAAGAUGUUGAAAGUCAGCCAUAUAACUAUUAAUGAAGCAGAAUGGAAUCAAAGUAAAAUUAUCUGUGAAGCAGGACACCCAUCAGGAAAAGUCACAGAAACAUUCACAACAGUGAAACCACAAACACCAACCCUGAGCUUGGUUCUUGUAACAACUUCGAAAAGUACAUCCGUCAUGUGUGUCAUUGAGGAUUUCUAUCCCAAGAAGAUCGAUGUACAAUGGAAAGUGAAUAAUACCAAAGGCAUGAGCCAGCUAAAACUGGAAAGCAAACUGAAUGAUACAGGUCAUUACACAGCAUACAGUUUUUAUGAAGUCAGCAGAGAGAAUUGGGAUGUGAAUACUCAGUAUACCUGUGAGGUCACACACCGGGGAGAACAGUUUACCACGACAGCAUACUUCAAAGCUAAAUUUGCACUGACACUGAAGCCACCAAGUCAGAGAGAAAUAUUUUUAAAAAAUGAAGUUGUCUUGGAAGCUGUUGUUUCUGGAGAUAUAAAAGAUACAGUGGAAAAAGCUUCAGUGUCAUGCUCAGUGAAAGAAACUAAAAUCGAUGUGAGACCAGGAACAGUCAAGUUUUCUAAUGACAUUUCACAGUCUAUAAAAAAACACAAUGUCACUGUUAACACAAAGAAAUGGUUUGAUGGUGAAAUGGUCACCUGCACCACCAGUGACACAAAUAAUAACAGAGACAUCAAGCAGACGAUCCGUUUUCAUAAAGGAGAUGGAAAUAAACCAAAUGUUAUCAUUUACAAACCUGAUAGUAUGGACAAAGAUCAUGUUUCUCAUGUGUGUGAGGUCACCAGUCCUAAACUCGGCGAUGUCUAUAUCAUGUGGAAAGUGGGUGAAGAGCCUUACAGAGAGGGCACAACCAGUGCUCCCAUCCAUCAAAAGGACUCCACGUCUGUUCUCAGCAUCCUAACAAUGACAAAAGAAGACUAUAAAAAGCUCAGCACCACCAUCACCUGCGCAGUCAAACAUGCCAACAUGGAUAAUAUAAAUGCUCCAUUACAAGCUUCAACAAGCCAAAGUGAGCCACCUGAGCCAGAGACAGGCUUUGCUCUGGACUGCAAUAAAGAUGUUCUGGAGGAGGAUGAGUUCAGAAGUCUCUGGUCCACUGCCACCUCAUUUAUCUUCCUCUUCCUCUUUUCUCUGACCUACAGCGCUGAGCUCAGCUUCUUCAAGUGCUGGUCUGAGGCUGAUUAG